Molecule: ribosomal RNA, 421 nt
Filed under: uncultured bacterium
Lineage: Bacteria
Description: bacterial SSU rRNA
Rfam family: Bacterial small subunit ribosomal RNA
Source: RNAcentral
UCUUGCGCAAUGCGCGAAAGCGUGACGCAGCAACGCCGCGUGAGGGAAGAAGGCCUUCGGGUUGUAAACCUCUUUCAGUUGGGACGAAGCCACGACGGUUAAUACCCGUCUGUGGUGACGGUACCUUCAGAAGAAGCCCCGGCUAACUACGUGCCAGCAGCCGCGGUAAUACGUAGGGGGCAAGCGUUGUCCGGAAUCAUUGGGCGUAAAGCGCGUGUAGGCGGCUUGGUAAGUCCGCUCUGAAAGCCCGGGGCUCAACCCCGGGAGGCGGGUGGAUACUGUCAAGCUCGAGUCCGGAAGAGGCGAGUGGAAUUCCUGGUGUAGCGGUGAAAUGCGCAGAUAUCAGGAGGAACACCAAUGGCGAAGGCAGCUCGCUGGGACGUGACUGACGCUGAGACGCGAAAGCGUGGGGAGCAAACAG